GAAAGUAAAAAAGGGCGUAUGGGGAAUGCCUAGGCUCUUGGAGGCGAAGAAAGACGUGGUAAGCUGCGAAAAGCCUCGGGGAUUUGCAAACAAGAUUUGAUCCGAGGAUCUCUGAAUGGGACAACCCGGCAGGUAGAAGACCUGUCAUCCGGCAACGGAAGCCAACCCUCUGAACUGAAACAUCUUAGUAGGAGGAGGAAAAGAAAGAAACAUCGAUUUCCUAAGUAGCGGCGAGCGAACGGGAAGCAGCCCAAACCGUAUCUGUUACGGCAGGUGCGGGGUUGUAGGACUGCAACAUUCAAGCAACGAUGAACUGGAACGGACUGGAAAGUUCGGCCAAAGAGGGUGAAAGCCCCGUACAGGUAAGUUAGUUGUGCGAUAGCAGUAUCCUGAGUAUGGCGGGACACGAGGAAUCCUGUCAGAAUUCGCCGGGACCACCCGGUAAGGCUAAAUACUCCCAAGAGACCGAUAGUGAACCAGUACCGUGAGGGAAAGGUGAAAAGUACCCCGAACAGGGGAGUGAAAUAGAACCUGAAACCAUACGCUUACAACCGGUCGGAGCGGCUUCGUGCCGUGACGGCGUGCCUAUUGAAUAAUGAGCCUACGAGUUACUAAUCACUGGCGAGGUUAAGUGCUGGGAAGCACGGAGCCGAAGCGAAAGCGAGUCUGAACAGGGCGGCCAGUCAGUGGUUGUAGACGCGAAACCUUGCGAUCUACCCUUGAGCAGGAUGAAGGUUGGGUAACACCAACUGGAGGUCCGAACGAAUAAGCGUUGAAAAGCUUCUCGAUGACUUGAGGGUAGGGGUGAAAGGCUAAUCAAGCUGGGAAAUAGCUCGUACUCCCCGAAAUGCCUUUAGGGGCAGCGUUGUAAUAAAGAGUCUACUGGAGGUAGAGCUACUGAUUGGAUGCGGGGGCUUCACCGCCUACCAAAUCCUGACAAACUCCGAAUGCCAGUAGUAUGAUUUACAGCAGUGAGCGGCCGGGUGCUAAUGUCCGGUCACAAAAGAGGAACAACUCAGACCAGCAACUAAGGUCCCCAAGAAUAUGCUAAGUUGAUCUAACGAUGUUUUGUUGCAGAGACAGCUAGGAUGUUAGCUUGGAAGCAGCUAUUCAUUCAAAGAGUGCGUAACAGCUCACUAGUCGAGCGACAGAGCGUGGAUAAUAAACGGGCAUCAAGCAUAUCACCGAAGUUCUGGACGCGAAAGCGUGGUAGGGGAGCAUUCCAUCGACGUUGAAGCCGAUCCGUGAGGAUUGGUGGAGUUUAUGGAAAAGCAAAUGUAGGCAUAAGUAACGAUAAUGCGGGAGAGUAACCCGCACACCGCAAGACCAAGGUUUCCUGAUCAACGCUAAUCGGAUCAGGGUUAGUCGGGUCCUAAGGGUAAGCCGAACGGUGAUCUCGAUGGACAAUCGGUUAAUAUUCCGAUACUAACAUACACCUCGAUGGAGAGACGAAGGAACGUAAGUGUCGCCACCUGACGGAAUAGGUGGUUAAAGGGCGUAGGUAAAGGAGCAGAUUAAGAGUUAGCUACUGCUGAGACCCGACAGUACGGAGCGGCUACGGCCAAUCCGAUAGUGCACCCAAGUAGACUUCCGAGAAAAUCUUCUAAGUUACAGUGUAUGUUACCCGUACCGUAAACCGACACAGGUGGUCGAGGAGAGUAUCCUAAGGUGCUCGAGUGAAUCACGGUUAAGGAACUAGGCAAAUUAACCCCGUAACUUCGGGAAAAGGGGUCCCUAUGAAAGUAGGGCGCAGCGAAAAGGUCCAGGCGACUGUUUAUCAAAAACACAGGGCUCUGCAAAUUCGAAAGAAGACGUAUAGGGCCUGACACCUGCCCGGUGCUGGAAGGUUAAGAGGGGAUGUCAUCGCAAGAGAAGCAUUGAAUCGAAGCCCCAGUAAACGGCGGCCGUAACUAUAACGGUCCUAAGGUAGCGAAAUUCCUUGUCGGGU
This 1948-nucleotide ribosomal RNA is filed under the name human gut metagenome. Its description in RNAcentral is "bacterial LSU rRNA". It matches the Rfam family "Bacterial large subunit ribosomal RNA", at positions 1 to 1977 of the family's 2925-position model. The record is from RNAcentral.